Molecule: transfer RNA, 72 nt
Filed under: Methanomassiliicoccales archaeon
Lineage: Archaea; Methanobacteriati; Thermoplasmatota; Thermoplasmata; Methanomassiliicoccales
Description: tRNA-Gly
Rfam family: tRNA
About the family: Transfer RNA (tRNA) molecules are approximately 80 nucleotides in length. Their secondary structure includes four short double-helical elements and three loops (D, anti-codon, and T loops).
Source: RNAcentral
GCGGCCGUAGUCUAGUGGUUAGGACUGAGGCUUCCCAAGCCUCAAGCCCGGGUUCAAAUCCCGGCGGCCGCA